GAAUAUGAUGAUAGUAGAUAUGUCGCCCCAGUCUUAAUUUGCAUCUACUCAAGAUGUAAUGUGGUGAUUGACACUUGAUCUGAUUC
Molecule: small nucleolar RNA, 86 nt
Organism: Salvia miltiorrhiza (redroot sage)
Lineage: Eukaryota; Viridiplantae; Streptophyta; Magnoliopsida; Lamiales; Lamiaceae
Product: small nucleolar RNA U31b
Exons: 1
Source: RefSeq, a predicted model, not a curated record